CACGUAGGGCGCAAGCGUUGUCCGGAAUUAUUGGGCGUAAAGAGCUCGUAGGCGGUCUGUUACGUCUGCUGUGAAAACCCGGGGCUUAACCCUGGGCUUGCAGUGGAUACGGGCAGACUAGAGUUCGGCAGGGGGAGACUGGAAUUCCUGGUGUAGCGGUGAAAUGCGCAGAUAUCAGGAGGAACACCCGUAGCGAAGGCGGCACUCUGGGCCGAUACUGACACUGAGGAGCGAAAGCGUGGGGAGCGAACAGG
RNAcentral lists this ribosomal RNA (254 nucleotides) under uncultured bacterium. RNAcentral describes it as "partial 16S ribosomal RNA". It matches the Rfam family "Bacterial small subunit ribosomal RNA", at positions 524 to 776 of the family's 1533-position model. The record is from RNAcentral.